GGACAUUGACGUAGUGCAGCUUGCAUGCCUGCAGGUCGACGAUUUUCCGGUUGAUCCUGCCGGACCCUACUGCUAUCGGGGUGGGACUUAAACAUGCGAGUCGAACGUUUCACAGCCACGAGUGAAACGUGGCAUACGGCUCAGUAACACGUGGCUAACCCACCCUCGGGACGGAGACAACCCCGGGAAACUGGGAUUAAUACCCGAUAGGCGAAGACUCCUGGAACGGGUCUUCACCCAAAAGGCGUUAAGGUCAUGCUCCUUAACAUCGCCCGAGGACGGGGCCGCGGCCGAUCAGGUAGUUGGCGAGGCAACGGCUCACCAAGCCUAUAACCGGUACGGGCCGUGGGAGCGGGAGCCCGGAGAUGGGUACUGAGACAAGGGCCCAGGCCCUACGGGGCGCAGCAGUUGCGAAAACUUGUCAAUGCACGAAAGUGUGAACGGGCUACCCCGAGUGCCGUCCGCUGAGGAUGGCUUUUCUCUGCUGUAAGAAGGCGGAGGAAUAAGGAGAGGGCAAGUCUGGUGUCAGCCGCCGCGGUAAUACCAGCUCUCCGAGUGGUAGGGAUGAUUAUUGGGCCUAAAGCGUUCGUAGCCGGCCUUCCAAGUCUUUCGUUAAAUCCAGCGAUUCAAUCGUUGGACUGCGGGAGAUACUGUUAGGCUAGGGGGCGGGAGAAGCCGACGGUAUUUCUGGGGUAGGGGUAAAAUCCUAUAAUCCCAGGAGGACCACCAGUGGCGUAGGCGGUCGGCUAGCACGCGCUCGACGGUGAGGGACGAAAGCUGGGGGAGCAAACCGGAUUAGAUACCCGGGUAGUCCCAGCUGUAAACGAUGCGGGCUAGGUGUUGAAGCGGCUACGAGCCGCUUCAGUGCCGCAGGGAAGCCAUUAAGCCCGCCGCCUGGGGAGUACGGCCGCAAGGCUGAAACUUAAAGGAAUUGGCGGGGGAGUACCACAAGGGGUGAAGCUUGCGGUUUAAAUGGAGUCAACGCCGGGAAUCUCUAGAGGAUCCCGGGUACCGAGCUCGAAUUCGUAU
Molecule: ribosomal RNA, 1029 nt
Filed under: uncultured archaeon
Lineage: Archaea
Description: partial 16S rRNA
Rfam family: Archaeal small subunit ribosomal RNA
Source: RNAcentral